This 483-nucleotide ribosomal RNA is filed under the name uncultured bacterium. Its description in RNAcentral is "partial 16S ribosomal RNA". It matches the Rfam family "Bacterial small subunit ribosomal RNA", at positions 28 to 523 of the family's 1533-position model. The record is from RNAcentral.
GACGAACGCUGGCGGCGUGCUUAACACAUGCAAGUCGAACGAUGAAGCCCAGCUUGCUGGGUGGAAGAGUGGCGAACGGGUGAGUAACACGUGAGUAACCUGCCUAUCACUCUGGGAUAAGCGCUGGAAACGGCGUCUAAUACUGGAUACGACCUAUCACCGCAUGGUGUGUGGGUGGAAAGAUUUAUCGGUGGUAGAUGGACUCGCGGCCUAUCAGCUUGUUGGUGAGGUAAUGGCUCACCAAGGCGACGACGGGUAGCCGGCCUGAGAGGGUGACCGGCCACACUGGGACUGAGACACGGCCCAGACUCCUACGGGAGGCAGCAGUGGGGAAUAUUGCACAAUGGGCGCAAGCCUGAUGCAGCAACGCCGCGUGAGGGACGACGGCCUUCGGGUUGUAAACCUCUUUUAGUAGGGAAGAAGCGUAAGUGACGGUACCUGCAGAAAAAGCACCGGCUAACUACGUGCCAGCCGCCGCAGUAA